This 207-nucleotide long non-coding RNA is filed under the name Elaeis guineensis (African oil palm). RNAcentral describes it as "long non-coding RNA (EGUI_LNC006410)". The record is from RNAcentral. Lineage: Eukaryota; Viridiplantae; Streptophyta; Magnoliopsida; Arecales; Arecaceae.
GGGCGAGCUCUGUGGUGACGGUGACAUGGUGGCUCCAGCAGAGGGCGGCGAGGAGGGCAAGGAGAGCAACAUGGUCACCGCAGAAGGGUUGAUGGACAACAGUAGCGCCAGCACCAUCAUGGGAUCAGUGCUAGGUGGUGGAGGAGGAGGAACGGGAGAGAAGUUGUUGGUGAUUGCAAGGGUCUUGGUGUGGUAAAGGAUGGGGCC